This 939-nucleotide long non-coding RNA is filed under the name Triticum aestivum (bread wheat). Its description in RNAcentral is "long non-coding RNA (TAES_LNC005045)". The record is from RNAcentral. Lineage: Eukaryota; Viridiplantae; Streptophyta; Magnoliopsida; Poales; Poaceae.
UGGCUUGAUCAUGUGGAAGCAUGUGACCAGGAAGGAUUGCAUCUGAAUAAAUUCACACGACAGCAACUGUAUUAAUCAGGUUAGUGUACUGUUAGUGUCAUGUUUGUCCAUUCUUCAUUGUGUGAUGUGAACCUCAAUUGAUAUCUGUAUUAUACUCAACUGAACAGUCAGGUGUUAAGCUCUGAAACUUGUUCAAACUUUGAGAGGGGUGUUUAUUUUUACCUAAUCAGCAAUUGUAACGGUAGCCUGAUAGGUCACUUGCUGAAAUUCUAUAGUAUGUCACUGUUAAAGGUCACAAACAGACAGAACCUUCCACUACUAACCUACUAGGUCAUGAGCUGCUUAAGUUAAUAGGACACACAAUGACUGAACCUUCAUAGUAGCUAGUCCCCAAUCAAUAUCACAUUAACUGGAUUCAGACUCAUGGGACUGUGUCUUGUUUGUUAUUAACUGGAUUCUUGAUAGUUUUAUCAUUUCAUUUGACUCACCCGAUUUUAAGGUCUCAAAGUAUAAUAGCUGCACCGUUUCUUCUGUUUCGUCUAAACCAGAUCCUACUUUGCUUCAUUUAGUCCUCAGUGUAGGUUUAACUCAUCUAAGGCUUCCUUCUGUAAUUAACAGCUGUUUGUGCUUGUGGAGCUGGUGUCCCCAAUUUUGGAAAGUAUGUACUUAUUAUUUCCAUUCAUAAACUUGCAAUCCUAAAUUUCCAGGUGGGACCAUUAUAAUAGAAAUAUUGUUGUUUCCUUGAUAAUCCAUGUUUGUUGUUGUUCUAUAGCCAAUGAAUGAUAAGAUCAAGCAAGCUAUGGUUGGAUCACUAUCUGGAAUUGUUUUCUCGACACGACUGAAUUUGUUUAUUUUAUUUUCCAAGUGUUCAUUAUUAUCGCACUAAAUACCAGGAAAACACACACCAAAUAACCCAUGUUAACUUGAUUGCUUUUUCAG